CUACGGGUGGCACCAGUGGGGAAUAUUGCACAAUGGGGGGAACCCUGAUGCAGCAACGCCGCGUGGAGGGUGACGCAUUUCGGUGUGUAAACUCCUUUUAUAUGUCAAGAAAAUGACGGUAGCAUAUGAAUAAGCACCGGCUAACUCCGUGCCAGCAGCCGCGGUAAUACGGAGGGUGCAAGCGUUACUCGGAAUCACUGGGCGUAAAGGACGCGUAGGCGGGUUGGAAAGUCAGGUGUGAAAUCCUACAGCUUAACUGUAGAACUGCACUUGAAACUUCUAAUCUAGAGUAUGGGAGGGGGAGAUGGAAUUCGUGGUGUAGGGGUAAAAUCCGUAGAUAUCACUAGGAAUACCUAAAGCGAAGGCGAUCUCCUGGAACAUUACUGACGCUAAGGCGUGAAAGCGUGGGGAGCAAACAGGAUUAGAUACCCCGGUAGUC
RNAcentral lists this ribosomal RNA (439 nucleotides) under uncultured bacterium. Its description in RNAcentral is "partial 16S ribosomal RNA". It matches the Rfam family "Bacterial small subunit ribosomal RNA", at positions 339 to 795 of the family's 1533-position model. The record is from RNAcentral.